This 1290-nucleotide unclassified non-coding RNA is filed under the name Hevea brasiliensis (rubber tree). Lineage: Eukaryota; Viridiplantae; Streptophyta; Magnoliopsida; Malpighiales; Euphorbiaceae. The record is from RNAcentral.
CCAAUAUUCAUUGUCAAGAAAACAAAACGAAAUGUGUCCAUUGUCAAGAACUAAGAUCCAAAUCAAUGUUCAUAUUCAUGUACAAUGAGAUGGUUGUUAAAUCAUAGACUGCAAAGGGUUUUAAAGAACUUGGCCCUCUUAGAACUCUUAUCAGUUAUCAUCAUCCGUUGAUCCGCAUGAAGAAUCUGCAGGAACCUGUGAACUAGCAACAUCAGUGCCUUGAUCACUAGCCCCUCUAAAUAUGGAACUGUUCCGCAUCAUGGCAACCAGGUCCUUGGAUGUUUCCCUUAACUCUUGCAAUGCAGAUUUGACUUGGACCAGCUCAGCAUUUACCACAUCCAAAUUUGAUUCAUACUGUUUCUGCAUCACCAUCAACUUCGCUUCAUAGUUUUCUUGCAUGUCUUCCAUCUGGGAACGCAGACUAUCAAUCUCUUCCUAAAGCUUUGUACUGUUAAUCUGCUCUUGCUGUCCAAAAACCUGAUUUCGGGUAGCUCAAAGCCCAUAACCCUUCACCCUUUCAUGAUGAUCUUCCCGUAUAAGUUCAGCGAAGACUUCAUUUUGAAGACUUGUGUCAUAAGAAGAUUCAGAUGUGCCAGCGCAUUCUUCCAUAAGAGUCGUAGCAACCUCCAUGAACUGUUGGGCAUCCUGAUUGAUAUAGGUUCCAUUCUUGCGUUUGUGGGUUACAGCAAAAGACUCAAUAUGUCCAGGCUCUUUUCCACAUUCUUCAACAUAUUCAUCUCUACACCUAGCAAAACUCUUAGAUCCCAUUGUGUGAGGAAUGUUUUGACUUUCCCCUUGCAAGAGAGCUUACUCCUGUCAGAAAACCAACAAUGAACAAGCUUCUUCCAUUGUGAAGGGAGAAUGUUAGGAGCAACCUUGCUCACCAUCUGCUCUUCGGUGCAUCCCUCCACUGUAUAUUUGCAUUUAAGACUGCUGAGUCUUCGAUACAUGGUGAACCGGGUUUAGGCAAGAUUUUCCUGUCGACCAUAAGCCCGCGCCAAUCUAAUAACAUUUGUCUUGAAUGUUGCUGGCAUAACUCUCCAAUCUGUAUAAUUGAGUGGGCAUAAAUAUCCUUUUCUUGCGAUAGUUGCAACCCAUCCACCUAAAAUGCCCCACCUUUUUUCACUGGUUGCCUCAAGUCAUUGCAUCUAAUUAUGAUUUUUCCUCCUCGAGGCAAACUCUACACUUGCUUUGCACGUGUGGGUCCAUAUCUUCUUCUUCUCCUUCCUUGAGCAUCUAAUAUCUCCAACACCUCUGUACAAACUUCCUCAUCGGGAUUCCGAAGUUGAG